CCUACGGGGUGCACCAGUGGGGAAUAUUGCACAAUGGGCGCAAGCCUGAUGCAGCCAUGCCGCGUGUAUGAAGAAGGCCUUCGGGUUGUAAAGUACUUUUAGCGGGGAAGAAGGCGAUAAGGUUAAUAACCUUGUCGAUUGACGUUACCCGCAGAAGAAGCACCGGCUAACUCCGUGCCAGCAGCCGCGGUAAUACGGAGGGUGCAAGCGUUAAUCGGAAUUACUGGGCGUAAAGCGCACGCAGGCGGUCUGUCAAGUCGGAUGUGAAAUCCCCGGGCUCAACCUGGGAACUGCAUUCGAAACUGGCAGGCUGGAGUCUUGUAGAGGGGGGUAGAGUUCCAGGUGUAGCGGUGAAAUGCGUAGAGAUCUGGAGGAAUACCGGUGGCGAAGGCGGCCCCCUGGACAAAGACUGACGCUCAGGUGCGAAAGCGUGGGGAGCAAACAGGAUUAGAUACCCGUGUAGUC
RNAcentral lists this ribosomal RNA (465 nucleotides) under uncultured bacterium. RNAcentral's name for it is "bacterial SSU rRNA". It matches the Rfam family "Bacterial small subunit ribosomal RNA", at positions 338 to 795 of the family's 1533-position model. The record is from RNAcentral.